GUGGAUGUAGCUUAGGUGAUAAAGUGUUUAUCUGAUAUUCAUGAAGUCCUAGGUUCAAUUCCUAGUACCACA
RNAcentral lists this transfer RNA (72 nucleotides) under Cricetulus griseus (Chinese hamster). It matches the Rfam family "tRNA". Rfam says of the family: Transfer RNA (tRNA) molecules are approximately 80 nucleotides in length. Lineage: Eukaryota; Metazoa; Chordata; Mammalia; Rodentia; Cricetidae. The record is from Rfam by way of RNAcentral.